CUCGUUGGAACAGUGAUUUUUUUUUUUCUCUUUUUUUUUUUUUUUAACUCUACUAACUAAAUAAAUCAACGACCCAGACCUUUGUUGGGUUUCGAAACUUUAAAAUACAAUCAAGAGUUUGGAUUCUCUGUUACCGUACAGUGCACAGUACAUCAUUUAUCAUACGAUGGACGGCUGUAUGCGGAUGCACGCCCAUUGCAUGCGAUUGUCCAUCGCACAAUGGACAGAACGCGCUAUAUACCGCACGAUACAGUGC
RNAcentral lists this long non-coding RNA (256 nucleotides) under Elaeis guineensis (African oil palm). RNAcentral's name for it is "long non-coding RNA (EGUI_LNC004166)". The record is from RNAcentral. Lineage: Eukaryota; Viridiplantae; Streptophyta; Magnoliopsida; Arecales; Arecaceae.